CAGGCUAUGGGGCGGGCUAUGGGGCAGGCAAUGCAUUGGGCUAUGGGGCGGGCUGUGGGUCCUGCCAUGGGUCUCGCUAUGGGGCAGGCUAUGGGGCAGGCAAUGCAUUGGGCUAUGGGGCAGGCUAUGGGGUGGGCUAUGGGGCGGGCUAUGGGUCUCACUAUGGGUCUGGCCGUGGGUCUCGCUAUGGGGCAGGCUAUGGGUCCUGCCAUGGGUCUCACCAUGGAUCUCACUAUGGGGCAGGCUAUGGGGCAGGCUAUGGGGCGGGCUAUGGGGUUGGGCUGUGGGUCGCACUAUGGGUCAGGCAAUGCAUUGGGCUAUAGGGUGGGCUAUGGGGCGGGCUAUGGGUCCUGCUGUGGGUCUGGCCGUGGGUCUCACUAUGGGGUGGGCUAUGGGGCGGGCUAUGGGUCCCACCAUGGGUCUUGCUAUGGAUCUCACUAUGGGGCGGGCUAUGGGGCAGGCUAUGGGUCCUGCCAUGGGUCUCACUAUGGGGUGGGCUAUGGGUCAGGCAAUGCAUUGGGCUAUGGGGUGGGCUAUGGGUCCUGCCAUGGGUCCGGCCGUGGGUCUCACUAUGGGGCAGGCUGUGGGUCAGGCAAUGUAUUGGGCUAUGGGGCGGGCUAUGGGGUGGGCUAUGGGUUACACUG
This 644-nucleotide long non-coding RNA is filed under the name Anser brachyrhynchus (Pink-footed goose). RNAcentral's name for it is "lncRNA (ENSABRG00000006500.1)". Lineage: Eukaryota; Metazoa; Chordata; Aves; Anseriformes; Anatidae. The record is from RNAcentral.